This is a long non-coding RNA of Labrus mixtus (cuckoo wrasse), 230 nucleotides long. RefSeq lists it as uncharacterized. The record is from RefSeq and is a predicted model, not a curated record. NCBI's taxonomy places the organism in Eukaryota, Metazoa, Chordata, Actinopteri, Labriformes, Labridae. The transcript is spliced from 2 exons.
ACACACUGUACAGGGGUGAUUCUUUUUUUAACGGCUCUGUUUUGAUUUUGAAAACGAUACAUGUUAUCCAUAGUUAGGCGUGUAGCUGACAUGAUUGACAGGUUGACUGAAAGUUAGACUGAGACAGGAUUUACAACAUGGCGGCUGCUGCUGAUGAGCCUCCAGAGCCCCCUGCAGGAACAGAUGGCUGACGUCACUCAGGCUUCAAACAUUCAUAUUUACAGUCUGUG